GAUGAACGCUGGCGGCGUGCCUAAUACAUGCCAGUCGAGCGAACAGACGAGGAGCUUGCUCCUCUGACGUUAGCGGCGGACGGGUGAGUAACACGUGGAUAACCUACCUAUAAGACUGGGAAACUUCGGGAAACCGGAGCUAAUACCGGAUAAUAUAUUGAACCGCAUGGUUCAAUAGUGAAAGACGGUUUUGCUGUCACUUAUAGAUGGAUCCGCGCCGCAUUAGCUAGUUGGUAAGGUAACGGCUUACCAAGGCAACGAUGCGUAGCCGACCUGAGAGGGUGAUCGGCCACACUGGAACUGAGACACGGUCCAGACUCCUACGGGAGGCAGCAGUAGGGAAUCUUCCGCAAUGGGCGAAAGCCUGACGGAGCAACGCCGCGUGAGUGAUGAAGGUCUUCGGAUCGUAAAACUCUGUUAUUAGGGAAGAACAAAUGUGUAAGUAACUAUGCACGUCUUGACGGUACCUAAUCAGAAAGCCACGGCUAACUACGUG
This 496-nucleotide ribosomal RNA is filed under the name uncultured bacterium. Its description in RNAcentral is "partial 16S ribosomal RNA". It matches the Rfam family "Bacterial small subunit ribosomal RNA", at positions 28 to 507 of the family's 1533-position model. The record is from RNAcentral.